ACCGGCGCACGGGUGAGUAACACGUAUCCAACCUGCCGUCUACUCUUGGACAGCCUUCUGAAGAAGAUUAAUACAAGAUGGCAUCAUGAGUCCGCAUGUUCACAUGAUUAAAGGUAUUCCGGUAGACGAUGGGGAUGCGUUCCAUUAGAUAGUAGGCGGGGUAACGGCCCACCUAGUCUUCGAUGGGUAGGGGUUCUGAGAGGAAGGUCCCCCACAUUGGAACUGAGACACGGUCCAAACUCCUACGGGAGGCAGCAUG
RNAcentral lists this ribosomal RNA (259 nucleotides) under uncultured bacterium. RNAcentral describes it as "partial 16S ribosomal RNA". It matches the Rfam family "Bacterial small subunit ribosomal RNA", at positions 94 to 353 of the family's 1533-position model. The record is from RNAcentral.